UGGCACUGAAAAAAAAAUUGUCCUCAAUACAUUACCUCCUUGGAUCCGAACAGGCCGAGAAAGAAGCAACUGGAUAAGAUAAUUAUAUAAUAACACCUUAUAAUUUCUUAAUUUGUGGUUCUACUACCUGGGUAUUAGAUACCAGAAGUCCUUUUAAUAUUUGUAAUUCGCUGUAGGGUCUACAGGUCAAUAGGAGAUUUGAAGAAGGUCGAAAGGUUCCUUAAU
Molecule: long non-coding RNA, 225 nt
Filed under: Elaeis guineensis (African oil palm)
Lineage: Eukaryota; Viridiplantae; Streptophyta; Magnoliopsida; Arecales; Arecaceae
Description: long non-coding RNA (EGUI_LNC074385)
Source: RNAcentral